CCUACGGGUGGCAGCAGUGGGGAAUAUUGGACAAUGGGCGAAAGCCUGAUCCAGCCAUGCCGCGUGUGUGAAGAAGGCCUUCGGGUUGUAAAGCACUUUCAGUGGGGAAGAAAGCCUUGGGGCUAAUACCCUCGAGGAAGGACAUCACCCACAGAAGAAGCACCGGCUAACUCCGUGCCAGCAGCCGCGGUAAUACGGGAGGGUGCGAGCGUUAAUCGGAAUUACUGGGCGUAAAGCGCGCGUAGGCGGUCUGAUAAGCCGGUUGUGAAAGCCCCGGGCUCAACCUGGGAACGGCAUCCGGAACUGUCAGGCUAGAGUGCAGGAGAGGAAGGUAGAAUUCCCGGUGUAGCGGUGAAAUGCGUAGAGAUCGGGAGGAAUACCAGUGGCGAAGGCGGCCUUCUGGACUGACAUUGACGCUGAGGUGCGAAAGCGUGGGUAGCAAACAGGAUUAGAUACCCGAGUAGUC
RNAcentral lists this ribosomal RNA (466 nucleotides) under Vreelandella stevensii. RNAcentral's name for it is "partial 16S ribosomal RNA". It matches the Rfam family "Bacterial small subunit ribosomal RNA", at positions 338 to 795 of the family's 1533-position model. The record is from RNAcentral. Lineage: Bacteria; Pseudomonadati; Pseudomonadota; Gammaproteobacteria; Oceanospirillales; Halomonadaceae.